This 465-nucleotide ribosomal RNA is filed under the name uncultured Klebsiella sp. RNAcentral describes it as "bacterial SSU rRNA". It matches the Rfam family "Bacterial small subunit ribosomal RNA", at positions 338 to 795 of the family's 1533-position model. The record is from RNAcentral. Lineage: Bacteria; Pseudomonadati; Pseudomonadota; Gammaproteobacteria; Enterobacterales; Enterobacteriaceae.
CCUACGGGAGGCAGCAGUGGGGAAUAUUGCACAAUGGGCGCAAGCCUGAUGCAGCCAUGCCGCGUGUGUGGAGAAGGCCUUCGGGUUGUAAAGCACUUUCAGCGGGGAGGAAGGCGGUGAGGUUAAUAACCUCAUCGAUUGACGUUACCCGCAGAAGAAGCACCGGCUAACUCCGUGCCAGCAGCCGCGGUAAUACGGAGGGUGCAAGCGUUAAUCGGAAUUACUGGGCGUAAAGCGCACGCAGGCGGUCUGUCAAGUCGGAUGUGAAAUCCCCGGGCUCAACCUGGGAACUGCAUUCGAAACUGGCGGGCUAGAGUCUUGUAGAGGGGGGUAGAAUUCCAGGUGUAGCGGUGAAAUGCGUAGAGAUCUGGAGGAAUACCGGUGGCGAAGGCGGCCCCCUGGACAAAGACUGACGCUCAGGUGCGAAAGCGUGGGGAGCAAACAGGAUUAGAUACCCCGGUAGUC